CUAAUACAUGCAAGUCGAGCGAACAGACGAGGAGCUUGCUCCUCUGACGUUAGCGGCGGACGGGUGAGUAACACGUGGAUAACCUACCUAUAAGACUGGGAUAACUUCGGGAAACCGGAGCUAAUACCGGAUAAUAUAUUGAACCGCAUGGUUCAAUAGUGAAAGACGGUUUUGCUGUCACUUAUAGAUGGAUCCGCGCCGCAUUAGCUAGUUGGUAAGGUAACGGCUUACCAAGGCAACGAUGCGUAGCCGACCUGAGAGGGUGAUCGGCCACACUGGAACUGAGACACGGUCCAGACUCCUACGGGAGGCAGCAGUAGGGAAUCUUCCGCAAUGGGCGAAAGCCUGACGGAGCAACGCCGCGUGAGUGAUGAAGGUCUUCGGAUCGUAAAACUCUGUUAUUAGGGAAGAACAAAUGUGUAAGUAACUAUGCACGUCUUGACGGUACCUAAUCAGAAAGCCACGGCUAACUACGUGCCAGCAGCCGCGGUAAUACGUAGGUGGCAAGCGUUAUCCGGAAUUAUUAGGCGUAAAGCGCGCGUAGGCGGUUUUUUAAGUCUGAUGUGAAAGCCCACGGCUCAACCGUGGAGGGUCAUUGGAAACUGGAAAACUUGAGUGCAGAAGAGGAAAGUGGAAUUCCAUGUGUAGCGGUGAAAUGCGCAGAGAUAUGGAGGAACACCAGUGGCGAAGGCGACUUUCUGGUCUGUAACUGACGCUGAUGUGCGAAA
Molecule: ribosomal RNA, 728 nt
Filed under: uncultured Staphylococcus sp.
Lineage: Bacteria; Bacillati; Bacillota; Bacilli; Caryophanales; Staphylococcaceae
Description: bacterial SSU rRNA
Rfam family: Bacterial small subunit ribosomal RNA
Source: RNAcentral